AAUAGCCUAACGGCUGAACCAGCAACUUGGAAGAAUGAAUAGUAACAGCUAAUUGCAUAUAUAUAUAUAUGAUGCAAUAUCGACUCUGUCGAAUAAAAUUCUGGUUAGUAUUAUGAUAAUGACAUUGUCUAGCCAUGUGUCUUGACCAAAUUACGUGCCAGCAGUCGCGGUAAUACGUAGAAGACUAGUGUUAUUCAUCUUUAAUAGGUUUAAAGGGUACCCAGACGGUAAAUCAAGCCCUAGAGGGGACUAAUUUGCUAGAGUUACUUACGCGGGGGUUAUGAAGUACUAAUGGUGUAGAGAUAAAAUUUUGUAAUACCAUUUUUCGAAAGAAAAGUUAUGGCACUGAUAAAGGCGAAAGCAUCCCCUUAUGUGAUAACUGACGUUGAAAGACGAAGGCUUUGGAUCGCGAAUAGGAUUAGAUACCCUUGUAGUCAAAGCAGAGAAUUAUGAAUGUCAUAGACUAGAAAUUAAUUUUAUUCUAUAAAUGAAAGUGUAAGCAUUCCACCUCAAGAGUAAUUUGGCAACAUUGGAACUGAAAUCAUUAGACCGUUUCUGAAACCAGUAGUGAAGUAUGUUGUUUAAUUUGAUGUUCCGCAAAAAACCUUACCACAGCUUGAAUAUUUAUAUUUUUGAUAUAUUUACAUGUGUUGCACGGCUGUCUUCAGUUAAUGUCGUGAGAUUUUGGUUAGAUCCAUUAAAUUAACGCAAGCCCUUACUAUAUUUAGAUGUUUUAUAAUAUAAAAAAUAACAAAUAAAGUAGUUCCCCACUAUAUUGGAUAUGAUAACAGGGAUUAAGACAAGCCCUCAUGGCCUAAAUGCUGU
Molecule: ribosomal RNA, 825 nt
Filed under: Phyllopsora foliata
Lineage: Eukaryota; Fungi; Ascomycota; Lecanoromycetes; Lecanorales; Ramalinaceae
Description: SSU rRNA
Rfam family: Bacterial small subunit ribosomal RNA
Source: RNAcentral